GAUCCUGGCUCAGGACGAACGCUGGCGGCGUGCUUAACACAUGCAAGUCGAACGAGAAUCUGCGGAAAGAGGAUUCGUCCAAUUGAAGCAGAGGACAGUGGCGGACGGGUGAGUAACGCGUGAGGAACCUGCCUUUCAGAGGGGGACAACAGUUGGAAACGACUGCUAAUACCGCAUGACACAUUGGGGUCGCAUGGCCUUAAUGUCAAAGAUUUAUCGCUGAAGGAUGG
RNAcentral lists this ribosomal RNA (230 nucleotides) under uncultured bacterium. RNAcentral describes it as "partial 16S ribosomal RNA". It matches the Rfam family "Bacterial small subunit ribosomal RNA", at positions 15 to 228 of the family's 1533-position model. The record is from RNAcentral.